Ctenopharyngodon idella (grass carp) is the source of this 2460-nucleotide long non-coding RNA. RefSeq lists it as uncharacterized. Lineage: Eukaryota; Metazoa; Chordata; Actinopteri; Cypriniformes; Xenocyprididae. The record is from RefSeq and is a predicted model, not a curated record. The transcript has 3 exons.
AUGCAGAUUAAGGCACAGUAAUAUUAUAAUAAGAUCCCUUCCUACGUCACAUGGGAAGUGAAAUCUGAGCGGCUCAUUUUUUCACAUGCUUGCAGAGAAAGGCUUACCAAAACCGGGGAUCCGAUUAUAGCACUUAAACAUGGAAAAAGUCAGAUUUUCAUGAUAUGUCCCCUUUAAUGUUAUCACAAUGGACUAAAACUUUACUCACACAGGGUAUAAACAUCAAUCAACUUAAAAGGCCAGUCAUUUUUGGACCGGGAACACCAAAUGAGGUAAAGGAUAUUCAGCACAGCACAAGGGUUAAAUAUGGGAGAGCCAUAUUUUGAGUUUUGAUAUUUGGGAUUGGGACAUUGAGCUAGUUUGGGGCCAUUUUUGAUUGGUCAUUGGGCUAGUUUGGACCUGGCAGCCCUGGUCAUGAUGCCAAGAAGUAUUUAUUUGAAUGAAAGAUAGAACAAGUAUCUCACAAAAAGAGGUUUGUUACAUUUCAGAUCAUGAAACAACAGAUCUAGAGUUGAAAAUACCAGCAAAAGUAUUGUCAAACGUCAGUGAAACGUGUUGAUAGUUCAGGAGAUGACCUACACCGGUGGUUCCUCCUCACCCACUAAAAAUCAGUUGGUUACUGCAAAAAAACUGAUUGAGAAAGCUGGUUCAGAGGAGUUCUCUAGCAUCAUUUGUUUGCACAUAGCACUGUUUUGAUCAUUUGUUAUCGACUGCAGUGACGUAUCGCUAUUUCAGCUGUUAUUCUUCAGUGAUGCUGCUCUGCUGUGUGUCAAACGGCAGUCAGAGAUCAAGGUCAGUCUUCUUUUAGCCUGUUGACACAGAAACUUGAGUAAUCCAUUGCCACACGCAGCUACAUCAUGAUCACACUACUGAAAACCACCAUAUGAAACACAUUCUGUCAGCAAUCUGUGCAUUUGGUAACACUUUACAAUAAGGUCUUAUUUGUUAACAUUAAUGCAUUAACUAACUCGAACUAACAAUGAACAAUAUAUUAUCCUUUGUUAAUAAAAAAAGUUCACAUCCCAGCACCUGAAACAAGUGCAUGGUUUAUUUUAAUGGUGUCCUGGAUCAUGUCGGAGUUUGUUCGGAGCAUUUUGUUUUGUCAGGGAGGCACAGUGUAAUAGAGAGAUUGCAAAGAAACUUGUUGAAAGAUGAAGCAGUCAGCAGUAUUGGAUCUGGCAGCAGCUGCAUCACAAACCGCCCUGUAUGGUUCAGUCGCAUAGAUAUCGGGAUCCCAAUGCGACUCCAUGUUCAAGUUGUUGAAGAUUACCCAUUUGUAAUGGUCGAAAACCAAAUAGCCAACCAACCCUGUGACGUCACAGGCUGUACUACUGCAAGAUGGCGGCGCCCUGGCUACAAAAGCUAAGAACAAAACAUCUUUUUCUUUUAAAUGGUUACAUUUAUCAUGUUUGUUUUUGAUUAGGGUGGAAAUCAAUUUACUUAAAAAUGUUAACUUGACUGUUUCAUUUCCACUUCAAGUUAUCUUCUGCAAUUACAAAAAUCACCCAGUGCUGUCUAAUGUUAAAUGUCCAUAAAACUGGGUGUAUGUUUUUUACAAGUAAAAAGACAUUUUAAAGUAAAAAGUUCAACAUUUCAAUGAUAUUUUAGUCAAUGGCAAUAAACUACAAAUUGUCUCAGAUUUUAAAUACCUUGGAAGUAUUUUAGUCUUAUACCUGACAUUUGAAAAGCAAGUUAAAAUGUUCAUGCAAUGAAAUUUAAAAAUUUUUACAUUUAUACAGAAUCAACUUUCAACAGUAUUUUUGCAUUAAUUUCUCAAAUGUUUAGAACAAAUUGCCAACUAACAUUUGAGCAAACAUGGAAAUAUUAUUCAUUAAAUCAUACAUUAAAGCAAACAUGAGAAUAUGUUUAAAGAGGAGUCAAACGUGAUCACUGAACAAUCUUCAACUUAGUAAUUUGUAAUUAAUAUUAUUAUUUUGACAGUGCUACUUUGUUUUGUGCAAUUGUAUCAUUUAAUGUAAUGUAUACUUAAAAGUGUUGUGUUUUUGUACAUAUGUUAUUUAUUGAUUAAUGAUUAAUUAUGCCAUAUGUUCCUGUGUUCUUGUCUUCCUGAAAUUUAGUAGCCAAUUCUGGGGCAGUCAUAGACUAUCCAUUAUCCCUGUUAAAUAAACUAUUAAAUAAUAAUAAAAAAAAUGUAUGUAGCACUGUGAGUACUCGUGGCAACUGUUUAGCAGCUGUUUAUGCCAGCUUAGGCUAACUGUUUGUUUUUCAUUUUACACACACACACACACACACACACACACACACAGGACGGCACUUGCGAUUGUCUGUCACAAAUAUAUUGCAAGCAAUAGGAAGAAUACAAGCUGCUCUCCAAAGGCAAUUUAUAAAGAGACAAUCAGCAAUGAGAAAUGCAUUAUACUAUAAUAAGAGUGACUGGCAGCAUGCAAAGAUGCAACUCAUAUAGCAUAGAUGGCAUUCACUUCCAUAUAGGACAGAUUG